RNAcentral lists this ribosomal RNA (669 nucleotides) under Triticum aestivum (bread wheat). Its description in RNAcentral is "partial small subunit ribosomal RNA". The record is from RNAcentral. Lineage: Eukaryota; Viridiplantae; Streptophyta; Magnoliopsida; Poales; Poaceae.
AUGGCAGCUGAAGGAGACCUGAAGUUGCUAGGCUUGUCGGUGAGCCCAUUUGUAGUUCGUGUUCGCAUGGCGCUCCACAUGAAGGGCUUGAGCUACGAGUAUAUCAAACAGGACCUCUUCAACAAGAGUGAGCUUCUCCUCAAGUCCAACCCGGUGGAGAAGAAGGUACCCGUACUCAUCCACAAUGGCAAGACCAUACUCGAUUCGUCCGCCAUCGUGCAGUACAUCGACGAAGUCUGGGCCGCCAUGGGGCCGUCGAUCCUCCCUGUCGACCCCUACGAGCGCGCCACCGCCCGCUUCUGGGCCGCCUACGUCGACGACAAGCUAUUCUCUGCUUAUGUCGGUGUUAAUAGAGCUACCACGGAGGUGGAGAGGGCGGAGAAGGUUAACGAGACGCUUGUGGUGGUCGAGCAACUUGAGGAGGCAUUUGCCAAGCACUCGAACGGAAAGGCCUUCUUUGCCGGGGACUCCAUCGGGUACCUCGACCUCGCGGUCGGAUGCCACUUGCUCUGGCUCAAGGCGCAACGCAAGAUGUUUGACGUGGUGUUCCUGGACGCCGGCAAGACUCCACUCUUAGCGGCUUGGGCGAAACGGUUCGCUAAGACCGACGCGGCGAAGGAGGUGGUACCCGACACAGACGCGGUGAUGGAGUACGCCAAGAAGCGCUAG